CUGGCUGGGCACAGUGGCUCACACCUGUAAUCCUAGCACUUUGGGAGGCCAAGGCAAGCAGAUCACAAGGUUAGGAGUUUGAGAUCAGCCUGACAAACAUGGUGAAACCCCAUCUGUACUAAAAAUGCAAAAGGAACCGGGUGUGGCGGCAUGUGCCUCUAAUCCCUGCUACUCAGGAGGCUGAGUUAGGAUAAUCUCUUGAACCUGGGAGGCAGAGGCUGCAGUGAGCCAAGAUCGUGCCACUGCACUCCAGCCUGGGCUACAGAACAAGACUCCAUCUCAAAAAAAAAAAACACAAAAGAAUGUAUAACUUACAUAAUACGAAAACAAUGAAAAAAAUUUAAGUUCCAAACUAAACAUUGACUUAGUUGCUAAAACCAUUAUUUAAAUGACAAUUGCCCUCCAUUCAGAUGCCCAGCGAGAGAUGAUACACAUUCAUCAUAUGAGGUGCCAUUUUAACAUGAAAUUUAUUAGCAGUAAUUUAAAACAUUACUUGAAGUUACUUUAUACAAUUGCAGCAUUCUUUCUAAUUUGAUUUCUGCAAGGUUGUGAUAUGCUGGUAAAGGUAAACUAGCUUGAGGGUUAAUGUACUCAAUGGAGAAGAGUGGGUUGUAUUAUUAGCUCUGUGUACCAGGGCUUUUUGGUUUUCUUUUGUUUUUAAAAUCAAGACUUUCUCUUAUUGCAUAACUCAGUGGGAGUAUAGUUGCUUAGUAACCCUGCACUGACUGGGGGCUGUUGCUCUCGGACCCGGGAGGAACCUGCGUGUGAAUGAGACAGCUGUCAGCAAGCCUACACUCAGGAUUUACCCGGUGCAGAGAGCUCCAAAAGAACACAGCAGAACUCCAGAGCCCUUGGCAUUCUGGCUCACUUGAAUUUGUCCUCCUGCCUAUGACAUAUUCUUUUCACACAUACAAUCAUUUGUUUGCAGUCUGGAAAUAUAAAACCAUUCAAGAAACGGAGCCCAACUACUGGCUUUGUAACCUCUAUUAGACCAAAUCACACGUGGUGUGGAAGAGGAGAAAGAGCGUGGAAUGCUGCCGUAAUCAGCCUUGGGCAACCAGAGACGAAGGAACAGAAAAAAAAAAAAUCAACAAAAAUAAAUAUAGAGCUCUUACUCCAUGUGAGACACUGCCUUAGACAUGGUGGGCCAUAGAAACAAGUUUAGGAUCGAGUUCCUGUCGUUAGGAAUCUCUCAGUCUAUGUGGAGCUGAUAGAAAUACAGCGUCAUCACUCGAAGCCUGAAUUUUGAAUGAGUACAUUAACAAAAGGCCAAAGACUUAUUGCUAAGGGCCCUGAAUUAAGAACUGGCAUCCUUCCACUACUCUCAGCUGGAAAGGAACAAAAUUUAUGAAGGACACAGGAGAAUGUACCCAGAUCUGGAAAAAAAAAAAAAAGCUAAUAUUUGAUGAGUUCAGACUAAGUGCCAGGCUCUACAUGCCUUACACCUAGCAACUCAUUUAAUCCUCUUGAUAACCUAUAGUAAUUGCUAUUGCAAUUUCUAUUUCACAGAUUUGGAAACUGAAGCAAUGAGUUAAAUAAUGUGGCCAAUCAUGCAACUAAUAAGCAGUAGAUCUGGGAUUAUCUCAAGGGUAUAUUAGUGCACCUAGUGGUACACCUAAAACGACCAAAUGGAUUAUUAACAGAUCCAGAGUGAGAAGUCCUGGGAAUUGGUAUUAGAAUUCAUUGCAAAGCCUGUGAAUUUUCUCUAAAUAAAAGCAUAUGUAAUACUCAAAUACAUAAAAGAAAGUUCUGUGUGCUUCCUGACAAUAAGGAGACCAGAUAAUUUGUACAGAGACUCUUCAAUGGAUGAACAGCUUGUGUUCCAAAAAAUAUUUUACUUUUUAUUCUAUUUUUUUUUUUUUUUUUUUUUUGUAGAGACAGGUACUUGCUAUGUUGCCCAGGCUGAUCUUGAACUCCUGGCCUCAAGCAAUCCUUCCACCUCAGCCUCCUUAAGUGCUGGGAUUACAGCUUUGAGCCACUGUACCUGGCCUUCCCUUUCAUUCUUAUAUACAAAGCACCGCUAUGUAAACAAGUGCUUGUGCUUUUGUGCUGAUGCAUGGUUACUCUGUGUCUAUGAAAGAUGGUACACUGAAAAAAUUUUAAGCAUUCAAUUUUUGACUUAUAAGACUUCAGAAUCCAGAAGCAUCGUGUAUACAGAGGAGUUGGAAAAAGUUUGAGUUGAAGGAAGGUUCUCAAUCAAAAGAAAGGGAAAGCAGUGUUUAUGUAAGUGAGAAGAAUAUUCCCAUUUGCAAAUGGAAAUUUUGUUUAGGUGAGGAGCCGCUAGUAGUACGAUGAAAUACAAACCCCAUUUAGUCAAUCAGGCCACAGAACCAUUUGAAUUCUAUGUACCUAGCUAGGGGAGGUAGUCAGCGAAACCCAUUAAACAGUGUUCAGAAGAAACCAUCCAGCCCAGUGCAACGAAAAUGUUCUUUUCAAGACCCAACGAUCUAUCCAAACAUCAUUUUAGAUGCUGUGGGAGAAGAAUGCCAUUGUCCCCACUUGAGUAGACUGCAUUAUUAUUGGGGAAAAAAAAAACAAAAGCAUGCAAAAUGAGAGCAUGAGAUGCUGACCACAGCCUAGGAGUUCAGGAAGAGCUUGAAAAAAACAAACACCUUCCUGACCUGAGUUUUCUGAGAAAGUGGAGCUGGAGUUUGGUAACACUCCGCAACAGCUCGAAGAUGGACUUUGGGGACUUUGCCUGAGUGCCUGUGGAGAAAAUCAAACCCUGGGCUGAAUAGUUUGUUCUGAGCACUGUUUAAUGAGUUUCACUCUAUAUACCUCCCCUAGCUAGAUAUAUAGAACACAAGUGGUUCUGUGGCUUGGUUGAUUAAAUGCUUCAUCAGGCAGAUAGGCCCCUGGGAACUGUAUGCAACAUUUUAUUGCCUUUCAAGACAGUUGUUUCUCAUUGUAUAGAUGUGCCUGAGUGGAUAAAUAAUCAAGAGUUCCAAUGCCAAAGGCUAAUUUGCCCUGGCUUUGGAAAUGCCUUUUUUUUUUUUUAACCCAUAAGCAGCAUGAAUUAUACUGAGAGUUUUGCAUGUUUCUGGCUGACAACCAAAGGCCCCCCUUCCAGAAGGAUAGGAAAGUUGCCGGAUGAAGUUUUCUCACAGAAUUUACCACUGACUAUAAAGUGAAAUUGCUACAAUGAAUAAUCAUCUUUCCUUGUGCAAUCUUAAUUGAGUUGGCAACAUGUAUAAUUACCAUGAUGGCAGAGGAACCCUGUGAUGUUGAAUGAAGGACGAAUUUCUUUGGCUAUCUGUAGAAAGUCUCAAAAAACCUCGUCAUCUUAAAGGCCCGACCACCACUAAACUCAUUUGAGCAGAGGUACAUUAUACUUUGCUUGGAUUUACCAGGGCUUUCAAAAUUCAGUGCUUUCAUGCCUUGAAAAUAGGUAUUUUUGGAAAGUGAAUGCUUGCAAGUUAAGGGGAUUUGUAAUCUUUCUUUCAAGUGCUAUUCCUAAGGUUCAAAUACGUUAGUCUAUCAAGGGAUUGCAAACCACCGUAAUGCAACACUUACCCAAUUUGCAAGGAUGCUAGUUUAAAAAAAAACAAACAACCAGCUCUCUCAAGGGGGAAAAAAAUGUCACAGUGAGAGCCUACACAGGGGUAAAUUAUAAAGAUCUCCCACGAACAUGAGAACGACAUAAACUGAAGUGUAAUUACCUCCUAAGUAGGAAAAUAUAGUCUUUGUUUUUUACCUUCUCACCAUAAGACUAUAUUCUCCUAGAAGUUCACGAAAGGUCAUUGGCAGAACCUAACCUCUACUUUAUUGAAACUACCAAAGCUAAAUUAUACAUGUUUUUAACAGCCUGCUCAAUGCUAUGCAAAGGCUUCUUUAUAAAUGCCAAUCAUCAGUGAAACCUCAAGUCACUGUCAAAUCCUUGCAAAUAAUAGUAACAAAGUUCUUCAGAUGCCUGUGACCAGAGACCAGAGACCAGAGACCUGCCUAUGACCAGGUUCCAUUAUUUUCCCCUGACUUCUCAUGACUGGAGGAAAGGUAGGAGAGAAUGUGAUGCUGUAAACAUAAGCCCUGAAACUGCUUUGCUUCUUCCAAAAACUGAUGAGCCAGAUUAUUUCUGUAAGUAUAGUCUUUCACAAGAGUAUAUUAAACAUGUAAAAUCUAUGUUAACUUAUUUAGGCUCACAUGGUAUCAUUUAGUAAGUUACAGUUGUCAGGGGCUCUUGGUAUGCAUUUUCUUUUAUCUGAAUAAAUAGGAAAUGGUAAUAUUGCUCAAGGUAGUGGGAGAGAGCUGAGUAUUCUUUAACAGUCAGUAAAGGUCACAAUUGGAAAACCGGAAUUUGCUUAUAUGAUCCUUUCUGUGGCUAGCUCUCUUACUAGGAUGCAAUUCAAUACUUUCUGGGAACAUCUGUGCCCUAAAGAAGCAUGUCUGUAUGCAUCCACUUUUGGACUCUCAUUCGCCUCUCAUGGCUUUUGUUUGGCAGCUGAGAGUGCUCCAGGAUAUGAGGGUUAUUAUUUAACAUAUUCAAUACCCAGGGCUAGAACUCUAGGCAGAACCAUGUGGGGACCUUUUUGAUGUGCUUCAAAUUAAAGUGUUUAGGCAACUUCUACUGCUCUUAUAAUGAGUCUGAUGUGAUCUGAGAUACUGCUGGGUUGACUGGCCUAGUGGGUCUCUUCUCUAAGAAGGUAGCUUGUGUAAAGUGGGGAAUCAGGUUCAUCCUCUGUAUAGGGAAUGAAAGUAUGUUUCAAAGCUUACACUGUGGGGGGAAACAAAACACACUGGAGCCUGUCAGGGUUGAGGGGCAGGAGGAGGGAGAGCACUCGGAAGAAUAACUAAUGGACGCUUCGCUUAAUUCCUGGGUGAAGUGCAGCAAAUCACCAUGGCACACGUUUACCUGUGUAACAAACCUGCACAUCCUGCACAUGUACCCCUGAACUUAAAAUAAAAGGUGAAGAAAAAAAAAAGAAAACGCAAGCUAUUAAGAAAUAUCUGUUCCUCACAUUUGAGAUAAAUAGUGGAACUGGGUCAACAGGAACUGGUUUUGUUUGUUUGUUUGUUUGUUUGUUUUCCUCUGCAAUGUAACAGUGCUUGGAAGAGUUAAUGCAAUUUUAUUAAAAUUUCCAUUUUAA
Long non-coding RNA from Callithrix jacchus (white-tufted-ear marmoset), 5084 nucleotides. RefSeq lists it as uncharacterized. NCBI's taxonomy places the organism in Eukaryota, Metazoa, Chordata, Mammalia, Primates, Cebidae. The record is from RefSeq and is a predicted model, not a curated record.